This 1070-nucleotide long non-coding RNA is filed under the name Bos indicus x Bos taurus (hybrid cattle). RNAcentral's name for it is "lncRNA (ENSBIXG00005018559.1)". Lineage: Eukaryota; Metazoa; Chordata; Mammalia; Artiodactyla; Bovidae. The record is from RNAcentral.
GUUGUGCUGUUUGAUAAGUGACAAGUUUCACAUUGCACAGGUGGCCAAUUUCACCAGUUCCUUGAGCCCUAUCAGUAUCAUUUAUCAGAAACAGCAGAGAAUGCUGCAUGCACUGCGCUAGAGACAUUAAUUCCAGUCGUGUCUACAUUCCUCACUGGCUAAAGGACUUCAAGAUUGGUUUGUACUUUCGGCUUACCAUUGAUAACUUAAGAUAUCAUCCCAUGUGACACAGUCUUACUGCAUCUGUAUCUUAGGUACUUUUCCAAUGUCUUUGCAUUUUACCCAAGCUCUGAGUGAAGCAUGAAUGGCCCUGCCUUCCAUUAUGGGAUUUCCAGGCAUCAGUGUCUUCAGUGGCAAUGAAGAACAGCUGGCCACCGUUCUCUGUGAUAAUAACCUUCGUACAGUCAAAACUGGAGUGGUUUUGGACAUGGUACUUAUAAGAACAUCUCCUUGCAAAUGAUUGUGCCCCCUCCUCACCUCUCCAACCCCUAAGCAGCUUCAAGCUCCUCCUCCUCCCUUGGACCAUAUGGGGAAGCUGGCUCAGUGGCUGUUAUUCUACUGCUCCAAGUUCACGCAGCUGUUCAUUCCCUGCUUAAUGUACCGGUAAUUACAGCAAUGUGCUCUUCUCUUUUCCAAUCAUGUAACUUUUUCUAAUGGAAAAUUAUUUGUUUUUAACAACGUCCACGCAUUCUAUUCUUUAAUAAGAAAGGAGGUCUUCUGGAAUCAAGAGAUUAAAUUCUCUACAAAAAACAAAAGUUUCUGUAUCACUUUCCAGCUCCAUAGGAGGGCUCAGUGGGACAAGCUGAAAUUGAGGCGGGGGCACUUAAGUGAGUGUAACUAACUUGAUAUGAAUAGGCCGGUUGGGAAACAAAGCAAACUCAUAGCCUUCUGCACAUGGAGGUGAUGAAAGAAUAUUUUUUUUAAAAUGAGAAACUGGGAAAAAUCAAAAGUAGAAAUUGAGCUCUGCUUUCAUGAUCCAAAUUCAAUAUGCUCUCAAAAGAUUUUUAAAACAAAUAUUUGAAGAGUUUUUCCACUUAUCUUGGUUCUAUCUUUCAGAGCUUGCAAAUUUU